GACGAACCGAGCGAACGUUGUUCGGAAUCACUGGGCUUAAAGGGCGCGUAGGCGGGUGCUCAAGUCCGUGGUGAAAUCCUCCGGCUCAACCGGAGAACUGCCUCGGAUACUGGGCGUCUCGAGUGUGGUAGGGGUAUGCGGAACUAUCGGUGGAGCGGUGAAAUGCGUUGAUAUCGAUAGGAACUCCGGUGACGAAGGCGGCAUACUGGACCACCACUGACGCUGAUGCGCGAAAGCCAGGGGAGUAAACGGG
This 253-nucleotide ribosomal RNA is filed under the name uncultured bacterium. RNAcentral describes it as "partial 16S ribosomal RNA". It matches the Rfam family "Bacterial small subunit ribosomal RNA", at positions 524 to 776 of the family's 1533-position model. The record is from RNAcentral.